CCUAAAAUGUUGCUAUGUACUUUCUUUCACUCAAAUAAAUACGUUUUUUCAAUGUAUUAUACUAAUUAGUAAUUUUCCUCACUCGAUAGUCUGCUUUUUUGGUGCGUUGUUGUCACACUGCCAGACAACAUUCCCUAAAAUCCCCAUUUGAAACUAUACUGGCUUUCGGUUUUUGUUACUUUGCUCGUAUUGACGUCAUAUAACUUAUCAACGUGACAUAUGAGGAUAUAUGAAACAAUAAAAAUGUAAAAGACCAAAAACGAGUCUAGCUCUGACACCUGACGGCGGACUGAAGCACCCUUGCACACAGCGAACACACACAGUCAUCGACAGGACAAUGGGCGUACUCAUUGAAUGGAGCAGUCUGUUGGAGCCACACAAUCUGGACCUCAGAGAAAGAGGUCACUCGCAACAUAGAACGGACAAAUGAUGAAACGCUGUUCUCGCGUAAUGCAUGCUGAAGUUCCAGCGUGGACUUGCAGACAGCUCACUGACACUCAGAUCCUUCUUCAACCGCAAUAUGGGAUGGUUUCAACAUGGAACAUUUUCGGUACUCACAAUGC
Dunckerocampus dactyliophorus (ringed pipefish) is the source of this 563-nucleotide long non-coding RNA. RefSeq lists it as uncharacterized. NCBI's taxonomy places the organism in Eukaryota, Metazoa, Chordata, Actinopteri, Syngnathiformes, Syngnathidae. The record is from RefSeq and is a predicted model, not a curated record. The transcript is spliced from 3 exons.